Molecule: long non-coding RNA, 499 nt
Organism: Gadus chalcogrammus (walleye pollock)
Lineage: Eukaryota; Metazoa; Chordata; Actinopteri; Gadiformes; Gadidae
Exons: 3
Source: RefSeq, a predicted model, not a curated record
AACCGAUCUCUUCUCGAAGUGGGUUGUGGCAUAACCGCUGUGCUCCAAAACAGCCGUUGAGGCGUCACGAAAAAUUGUGAAUAUCCUCCUCGACUUUGGUCUGGUUGACAGGAUUAUUACAGACUAAGGACGGGAAUUUGUUAAUGAGCUCAACCAUGGGGUGUUUGCAGCGCCCGGUGUGAAACACUGCAUCACUUCAGCCUAUCACCCACAGGCCAAUGGACAAGCAGAGAGGACAAAUAAGACAAUUAGGUCAGCCCUGGCCAAGUACUGUGGGGAAGAGCAGAAUGACUGGGAUCUGUAUUUAAGGGGAAUUGUUGCAAGUGUCAACACCUCAAAACAGAGAUCAACCAAGUUCACACCGUAUUGUGCCCUUUUUGGGAGGCACCCUCGCUCCCCUGGGGUGAUUAAUUUAGAGGAGGAUGGGGACUCUCUUACGUCUGUCUGGGACUCAAGCGACGAGAAGCUUGAGGCACAAACUGCAGAAGUCGCAGAUCUG